Molecule: long non-coding RNA, 1448 nt
Organism: Manis javanica (Malayan pangolin)
Lineage: Eukaryota; Metazoa; Chordata; Mammalia; Pholidota; Manidae
Source: RefSeq, a predicted model, not a curated record
GAGUCCAGCCUCUCUGGCCUGGGAGCAGGGGGCCUUCCUUUCCUAGGGGGCCCCAGGCUGCUGUGCCCCUUCCCCGGGAGCUGGCUGCUCCCCACCCCGAUCCUGUCUCCUCCUCCGGAGGGACUGACUCCUGCCCAGACGCCCACUGCCUGCCAGGCCUGCUGGGAGCGCACAGGCCUGACCCCGCCCCCGCCCUCAAAGCUUCCUCUCGAUUCUGGGCCGCCUGCCUGGAAGAAACUGAGGGCAGAGGGGCUCAGGGACGCCUCCUCGCUGGCCCCGCCCCUGAGGGCUGCAGGCUUUCUCCAGGGGUCUCCCUGGGGCUGCCAGGCCUGGAGUCAUAGGAUGGGGGGAGGCUGGCGGGGGUCCCAGCCGGAGGCCUGGCUGGGAGGGGGACCAGGGCCCCUCCUAGCGCUCCCUCCUGACACCCCGCACAGUGCUCCGCAGCCCACACCCAGGCGGGGAGGAGCCCUGGGGCCCAGAGGGGUUGGAGGGCUGCCUAGGAGGCCCUCACUGCCCGGGGAGGCCGCGGGCUGGGCCCUCGGCCCCUGCAGCUCCGCCUCAGGCUGCUCUGCCGGCAGCGUCUACAUUCAGAAGGAAGGAGACCAAAAAUGAGAGGCGGAGCCACACAUCCCCUGAGGUGGAGGACCCCACCUGAGCCUGGAAAACAGCUCCUCCGGCAGAGCCCUGUGUUCGCCACUCAGCCUGAGUAGCAGUUUCCUCACCUUCCCUGUGAGCCACUGGAGGCCUGGCCCCUGUCUGCCUCUCUAAGCUGUGUCCCAGUGUCAGGGCAGUGAUCAGGGCUCCCCACUGGACGGACAGAUGGAGGACCCCACCCAGCACCCAGCACCCAGCUGUAUCAGCCCACUCACGUUCACCCGCUCCUGUUCUGACACUCACCCAAGAGGCAAGGAAGCGGAGGCCCGAGGGGAAGGCCUUGCCCAGGGCCCAGGCUGCAUCUGAUGUCCCCGCGCCUGAGCGCUUCGCCUUCCUGCCUCCUUGCGGCACACGGAGGGCUCCUUCUUCCUUAAACAGCACAAGGACUGCAUUUGUGGCUGCAUUGGUAUGGAGACGAGUAUAAUAAUCAUAUAUAUGAAAACAUUUUCUUUACCCUAACGUGAAGAAGAAAAUUCUCUGAUUUUAAACAAUAUUGAAAUAUUUUAUGGGGCCCUGAAAGUUCUGUGGCCUCAGGUACUAUGUUCACUCUGUCUCAAGAGAGUCAGCCUGGCAGGGUCCUUGCAUCCCAAGCUGACCUACUGGGCUUUGAACUGGGGUCUUCUGUAACACCCCCCACACCGCCCCCCAGUACCUCCACCACUCCCCGCGGCUGCCACUCUGGGGAAGGACCGCGUGAACUGUUGCUGAUUUUUGGCCUUUCUUAAUAGCCAUCCUGUGGCUCUGGACAUCUUGUUUCUGACUGCUUAUAACAACAAUAAUAAAGAAUAACAAGA